AGCCUUGAGGUGUUAGCACGUAAGAUUGCAAAUCUUGAGAAGCAGGGUAACAACCUGCCGGGGCUU
This 66-nucleotide transfer RNA is filed under the name Hyporhamphus intermedius. RNAcentral describes it as "tRNA-Cys". It matches the Rfam family "tRNA". From Rfam's summary of the family: Transfer RNA (tRNA) molecules are approximately 80 nucleotides in length. Their secondary structure includes four short double-helical elements and three loops (D, anti-codon, and T loops). Further hydrogen bonds mediate the characteristic L-shaped molecular structure. tRNAs have two regions of fundamental functional importance: the anti-codon, which is responsible for specific mRNA codon recognition, and the 3' end, to which the tRNAs corresponding amino acid is attached (by aminoacyl-tRNA synthetases). tRNAs cope with the degeneracy of the genetic code in two manners: having more than one tRNA (with a specific anti-codon) for a particular amino acid; and 'wobble' base-pairing, i.e. permitting non-standard base-pairing at the 3rd anti-codon position. The record is from RNAcentral. Lineage: Eukaryota; Metazoa; Chordata; Actinopteri; Beloniformes; Hemiramphidae.